UACGAAGGGGGCUAGCGUUGCUCGGAAUCACUGGGCGUAAAGCGCACGUAGGCGGAUCUUUAAGUCAGGGGUGAAAUCCUGGAGCUCAACUCCAGAACUGCCUUUGAUACUGGGGAUCUCGAGUCCGGAAGAGGUGAGUGGAACUCCGAGUAUAGAGGUGAAAUUCGUAGAUAUUCGGAAGAACACCAGUGGCGAAGGCGGCUCACUGGUCCGGUACUGACGCUGAGGUGCGAAAGCGUGGGGAGCAAACAGG
RNAcentral lists this ribosomal RNA (253 nucleotides) under uncultured bacterium. RNAcentral's name for it is "partial 16S ribosomal RNA". It matches the Rfam family "Bacterial small subunit ribosomal RNA", at positions 524 to 776 of the family's 1533-position model. The record is from RNAcentral.